This is a long non-coding RNA of Eubalaena glacialis (North Atlantic right whale), 1584 nucleotides long. RefSeq lists it as uncharacterized. The transcript has 3 exons. Lineage: Eukaryota; Metazoa; Chordata; Mammalia; Artiodactyla; Balaenidae. The record is from RefSeq and is a predicted model, not a curated record.
AGCGCGCAGGCGCGAUCGCACGGGUCCGGCGCCGGAAAGAUGCUGGCGGACAGCGCGCUGCGGCAGUGCGCGGGCUUGGGGACCGCUGUGCGGGACGGGCUUGGCGCUUGCAGCUCGUCCUGUCAGGGACGGGGUGGCAGGGUGAUGGCUGAAGGUGGAGCAUGCAGUUCAGUGAAUCACAGACGAAAGGACUAGGGUCCACGUGGGGCAGAAGUGCUUUGUAAGUUCCUCUGAAAUUAAGCUUUUGGUACGUGCAUUUCAAAGCAUCUGAAUUUGGGUCUGCACUGCCACAGGGGGUAGACUGUACAUCCUGCCACUUCUCCUGGAAACCAGAGGAAAGCAGUGUGACGGGGCUAUGGGAGGCUCAAGUCCAGGCUGAAGGCGCCACCGUCACUGGGACUGUACCCAGACAAGACCGCCAGAAUUACGGCAACUCUCUAGUUUUUUUCUGUUUGUUUUUUCCUUUGUGUUUUGAAAAACAGUCUCAAGUUCAGAGAGACUAAGCUGCUUGCUCCAGGCAGUAUAUCUGUCAUCAAAGCUGAGUGAUGUGAACAAAACCUAAUGCAGAAAUAAUCCCAGUGAUCCAACGUAUGUGGGUUCAGAAGCUCAUUCUUUUAUUUACAACGCCCCUCCCUCUCCCCUUCCUUUCCUUCUCCCGCCUGUGUGCCCCGACCCCAGCCCUCCCAACUUCUCCUCUCCUGCCCGCCCCUCCCUACCCUGGCCUCCUCUUGCCAGCUUUUGGGGAGUCCAGGGCAGCACCCUCCCAUCUGCCUGUGAUGGCCUGGCUUGUGGGUCAUGAACUUUUUUUUUCUUUUUUUCUUUUGGUUACGCUGCACAGCAGGCGGGAUUUUAGUUCCCUGACCAGGGAUCCAACCCGUGUCACCUGCAGUGGAAGCUCGGAGUCCCAACCACUGGACCGCCAGGGAUGUCCCUCUUGGGCCAUGAACUUAAUGUGUGGGUUGUGACCAGUAUUAAAUGUUGUAUCUCACAGUACAUCACACAUGGAAAUGGUUUUCUACGUGUUGUACUCUGUUGAGUCCAAGACACAUUUUUGAACAUUUCUGGACUCAGGAGAGAAUGGGCCUCAAAACUGGAUGGCACCUUAGCUACCCUCGGCCAGCUGAUGGUUUUGACAUGUAGAGUGAGUGGUUAGUCCAGUUGCCAAGCCCGCAUCACUGCAGCCACUCAUUUCUGUCAGCAAAAUAUUUAAGGACGAUUUAGGAAGGAAUAAGAAGACUGGUCGUUUUCUGAAAGCUUCUGUUGACACCAGGAUAAUGAAGGUGCUGACAUCAAGCCUUGCAGGACGGGUGUCAAUGGCCUGGAAUGAAAUCCUGGGGACAACAGGCUGCCUUCUCCUAAGAUGCUCCAACCAUGGUGUAUUUGAGGGCACAGAGGGGAAAACUUAGAUACUGAGGACUGACUCAAAAAGUUGGACUCUGGGUGAGGAAGUUUUAGGAACACCCAUACCAAUGUAUUUCACUUAUGUUAUAAGACUAUGUAAGUCUGAAAGUGCUUUAAAUAAACAUAAAAUGAGGACUUCCCUGGUGGCGCAGUGAUUAAGAAUCCGCCUGCCAAUGCAGGGGA